Long non-coding RNA from Polyodon spathula (Mississippi paddlefish), 627 nucleotides. RefSeq lists it as uncharacterized. The record is from RefSeq and is a predicted model, not a curated record. Lineage: Eukaryota; Metazoa; Chordata; Actinopteri; Acipenseriformes; Polyodontidae. The transcript is spliced from 3 exons.
UCAGCCUAAUCAGCAAAAUGUAGUGUCUUCUCUCCAGCCGUGAUGUGUCACGGUUUUAUGUAGCGUUCUGUAUAAUUUUAUUUUAUUAUGUGGACCACAAACAGAGAUAUUGUGGGUCAGCGGAAGUCCAGGCAAAGAGAAGGUAUUGUAGUUUUUGGAGAAAGAAGAACUCUUUGCUAAGCAGAAAGGAAUCACAGAGGCAGCUGUGCAACAGAAACACAGCAAUCGGAUUCAACAGGGCCCUCCACAGAACUGUUGGCUGAAGUGUCAAUGGUUAGGGCCUUGAAAAUGCAAACACCACUCCAACACCAUGUCACCAGCACCUCAAAACAAUGAACUGCUUAGAAUGUACAUCUGCAAGAUUGAUUUUGAUUAAUUACAGUGAUUUUCACCCUUGCUUCAAUGAGCGUGUAACUCAACGGUUGGAAUGCAGGACAGUUUUGAAAAUGUGGUCAUGAUAGAAAUGUAAAAUCCACUUCAAAAUGCAGGUGCAUUAACUGAACUGUAGUGAAAGAGCACUAAUCUUAUGUUAAAUUGAUAUGCUUACUACUGCAGUAUGUUGGAUGCAUAUAACAUUGUUCCUCUUUUAAUUUUUGCCAUGUUGUAAGUAUAUUGUAUUAAAGAUUG